CCUACGGGUGGCUGCAGUGGGGAAUAUUGCACAAUGGGGGAAACCCUGAUGCAGCAACGCCGCGUGAGCGAUGAAGGCCUUCGGGUCGUAAAGCUCUGUCCUAAGGGAAGAAUACUGACGGUACCUUAGGAGGAAGCCCCGGCUAACUACGUGCCAGCAGCCGCGGUAAUACGUAGGGGGAUAGCGUCAUCCGGAAUUACUGGGCGUAAAGGGUGUGUAGGAGGCCCUUCAAGUCAGGGGUGGAAGGCUACGGCUCGACCGUAGUAAGCCUUUGAAAGUGUAGGGAAUGUGUGCAGGAGAGGAGGGGGGAAUUCCCAGUGUAGCGGUGAAAUGCGUAGAUAUUGGGAUGAACGCCAGUUGCGAAGGCGGCUCUCUGGAGUGUAACUGACGCUGGGGCACGAAAGCGUGGGGAGCGAACAGGAGUAGAUACCCUAGUAGUC
This 440-nucleotide ribosomal RNA is filed under the name uncultured bacterium. Its description in RNAcentral is "bacterial SSU rRNA". It matches the Rfam family "Bacterial small subunit ribosomal RNA", at positions 338 to 795 of the family's 1533-position model. The record is from RNAcentral.